This is a long non-coding RNA of Hippocampus comes (tiger tail seahorse), 172 nucleotides long. RefSeq lists it as uncharacterized. The record is from RefSeq and is a predicted model, not a curated record. The transcript has 3 exons. Lineage: Eukaryota; Metazoa; Chordata; Actinopteri; Syngnathiformes; Syngnathidae.
UUCCAACAAUGUCAUUAACAUUUAACUCAUUGAAUACCACCCUUUUUCACUGGAGCAACCCCCUCAAUCCCUCACAUUUUACUGAAUUUUGACUGAUUUGCAAGGCCCACAUAAUUUUCUGUUCUACGGCUAUAUAAACGUGCGACCAAAAAAAAGUUUGUUUCUAUCUUUC